CCUACGGGCGGCAGCAGUGGGGAAUAUUGCGCAAUGGGCGAAAGCCUGACGCGGCGACGCCGCGUGAGGGAUGAAGGUCUUCGGAUCGUAAACCUCUGUCAGCAGGGAAGAACGGUCACUGUGCUAAUCAGCAGUGAAUUGACGGUACCUGCAAAGGAAGCACCGGCUAACUCCGUGCCAGCAGCCGCGGUAAUACGGAGGGUGCGAGCGUUAAUCGGAAUUACUGGGCGUAAAGCGCUCGUAGGCGGUAUGUCAAGUCAAGGGUGAAAUCCCCGCGCUCAACGUGGGAACUGCCUUUGAAACUGGCAAACUGGAGUGUGUGAGAGGAUAGUGGAAUUCCAGGUGUAGGAGUGAAAUGCGUAGAUAUCUGGAGGAACAUCAGUGGCGAAGGCGACUAUCUGGCACAUAACUGACGCUGAGGAGCGAAAGCGUGGGUAGCAAACAGGAUUAGAUACCCCAGUAGUC
RNAcentral lists this ribosomal RNA (465 nucleotides) under uncultured bacterium. RNAcentral's name for it is "partial 16S ribosomal RNA". It matches the Rfam family "Bacterial small subunit ribosomal RNA", at positions 338 to 795 of the family's 1533-position model. The record is from RNAcentral.